AUUGAACGCUGGCGGCAGGCCUAACACAUGCAAGUCGAGCGGAGCGGCGGACGGGUGAGUAAUGCCUAGGAAUCUGCCUGGUAGUGGGGGAUCACGUCCGGAAACCGGCGCUAAUACCGCAUACUCUCAGAUGAGCCUCGGUCGGAUUAGAAAGUUGGUGGGGUAAAGGCCUACCAAGGCGACGGUCCGUAACUGGUCUGAGAGGAUGAUCAGUCACACUGGAACGGAGAAACGGUCCAAACUCCUACGGGAUGCAGCAGUGGGGAAUAUUGGACAAGGGGCGAAAGCCUGAGCCAGCCAGGCCGCGUGUGUGAAGAAGGUCUUCGGAUUGUAAAGCACUUUAAGUUGGGAGGCGUUACCAACAGAAUAAGCACCGGCUAACUUCGUGCCAGCAGCCGCGGUAAUUC
This 407-nucleotide ribosomal RNA is filed under the name uncultured bacterium. Its description in RNAcentral is "partial 16S ribosomal RNA". It matches the Rfam family "Bacterial small subunit ribosomal RNA", at positions 30 to 526 of the family's 1533-position model. The record is from RNAcentral.